This 504-nucleotide ribosomal RNA is filed under the name uncultured bacterium. RNAcentral describes it as "partial 16S ribosomal RNA". It matches the Rfam family "Bacterial small subunit ribosomal RNA", at positions 28 to 523 of the family's 1533-position model. The record is from RNAcentral.
GAUAAACGCUAGCGGCAGACUUAACACAUGCGAGUCGAGGGGCAGCAUAGACUGUAGCAAUACAAUUGGUGGCGACCGGCGCACGGGUGCGUAACGCGUAUGCAACCUACCCGUCACAGGGGGAUAAUCCGGAGAAAUCUGGUCUAAUACCCCAUAACAUAUGGAUCGGCAUCGGUUCAUGUUGAAAUUUUCGGAGGUGACGGAUGGGCAUGCGUAGCAUUAGCUUGUUGGUGAGGUAACGGCUCACCAAGGCGACGAUGCUUAGGGGGACUGAGAGGGUUGCCCCCCACACUGGUACUGAGACACGGACCAGACUCCCGCGGGAGGCAGCAGUGAGGAAUAUUGGUCAAUGGGCGCAAGCCUGAACCAGCCAUGCCGCGUGCAGGAUGACGGCUCUAUGAGUUGUAAACUGCUUUUGUACGAGGGUAAAGUGGGUUACGUGUAACCUUUUGGAAGUAUCGUACGAAUAAGGAUCGGCUAACUCCGUGCCAGCCGCCGCGGUAA